CGGCACGGGUGAGUAACACGUAUCCAACCUGCCGUCUACUCUUGGACAGCCUUCUGAAAGGAAGAUUAAUACAAGAUGGCAUCAUGAGUUCACAUGUUCACAUGAUUAAAGGUAUUCCGGUAGACGAUGGGGAUGCGUUCCAUUAGAUAGUAGGCGGGGUAACGGCCCACCUAGUCUUCGAUGGAUAGGGGUUCUGAGAGGAAGGUCCCCCACAUUGGAACUGAGACACGGUCUAA
RNAcentral lists this ribosomal RNA (236 nucleotides) under uncultured bacterium. RNAcentral's name for it is "partial 16S ribosomal RNA". It matches the Rfam family "Bacterial small subunit ribosomal RNA", at positions 100 to 334 of the family's 1533-position model. The record is from RNAcentral.